This 253-nucleotide unclassified non-coding RNA is filed under the name uncultured Gammaproteobacteria bacterium. RNAcentral's name for it is "contains 16S-23S intergenic spacer region". It matches the Rfam family "Bacterial small subunit ribosomal RNA", at positions 524 to 776 of the family's 1533-position model. The record is from RNAcentral. Lineage: Bacteria; Pseudomonadati; Pseudomonadota; Gammaproteobacteria.
GACAGAGGGUGCAAGCGUUAAUCGGAGUGACUGGGCGUAAAGGGUGCGUAGGUGGAUUACUAAGAGAGCUGUGAAAUACCCAGGCUUAACCUGGGGAGGUCAGCUGAGACUGGUAGUCUAGAGUACACGAGAGGAAAGCGGAAUUUCCGGUGUAGCGGUGAAAUGCGUAGAUAUCGGAAAGAACACCAGUGGCGUAGGCGGCUUUCUGGCGUGAUACUGACACUGAGGCACGAAAGCGUGGGGAGCAAACAGG